UUCUUUUUAUUUCAAAAAAAAAAAAGAAAAAAAAAUCUCCUUUUUUUCCCUUUUAUCCCACGCGUCACUACUCAAUGUGGAAUUUUUACAAUUGUCCCUCAGUGCUUUACAGGGUUGAUCAACCUAUAGGUUCUCAUUUUUAAAGGUGGCUUGUUAUUCCUCUCUAUGUUCAGUUUCUGAGAUAGUUUGUGGUUAAUGGAGUAACUUGUGUGUCUGCGAGACUUAUCUAGUAACAAUUUGAGUGGGCAAUUGCCUGUUGCUUUUCAAAAUUUGAUUCAUCUUUCAACCUUAUAAGUUUCAAUUAUAAUCCAUCCCAAUUACACUUAUUUCCUUCUAGUGAAUUAAGCUAACUACUUAUUUAGCAGGCAUUUGUAGGAAAAUUAGCUGUUUGGGACGUUUGAUGUUCUACAAGAUCUUCCCCUGAAAGGUUUGUAUUAUUCCCAAACACGUCUCUUUUAAUACAUUCAACUACCAACUCAUAAAAUUGUAUUACUAAUAUAAUUGAGCUGAACUUGGGUAAUUUACUUAUAUGAAUUGAGCUAAACUUGUUAAUCUUAUUGAGGAUUUGAUUAGUAAUUAAAUUUAAUUGUUAAUUUUAGGGUUAUCAUUUGUUUAUUUAUAGUUUAGCCAAUGGACUUAUUGUUUAAUUCACAUCUUUAGUGCUGUGCAACUAUGUACUUUUCACUGACACCCUGAAGGGGAUGGCAAAAAAAGAGUUCCCUUUUACAACACACAUUGUAGUUACUUGUUUUAUUAUUUCAGCUGUGAUGCUAGAGUUAACUGUUGUUAUUCUUAUUUAUAAGUUAUUCAUGGAUUUCAAAUUAUUUAUAAUCAUAAUGUGAUUAUAUUUUUAUAUUUUAGUGCAGAUAUGACUUUGCAAAUGAUGAAGACGUUAUUGAAGUAACUUUGUUGGGGCGAAGUGUUCAAAAGUAAUUUGGAA
Molecule: unclassified non-coding RNA, 940 nt
Filed under: Hevea brasiliensis (rubber tree)
Lineage: Eukaryota; Viridiplantae; Streptophyta; Magnoliopsida; Malpighiales; Euphorbiaceae
Source: RNAcentral